UACGGGGGGGGCAAGCGUUGUUCGGAAUUACUGGGCGUAAAGGGCUCGUAGGUGGCCAACUAAGUCAGACGUGAAAUCCCUCGGCUUAACCGGGGAACUGCGUCUGAUACUGGAUGGCUUGAGUUUGGGAGAGGGAUGUGGAAUUCCCGGUGUAGCGGUGAAAUGCGCAGAUAUCGGGAGGAACACCUAUGGCGAAGGCAGCUCGCUGGGACGUUACUGACGCUGAGACGCGAAAGCGUGGGGAGCAAACAGG
RNAcentral lists this ribosomal RNA (253 nucleotides) under uncultured bacterium. RNAcentral describes it as "partial 16S ribosomal RNA". It matches the Rfam family "Bacterial small subunit ribosomal RNA", at positions 524 to 776 of the family's 1533-position model. The record is from RNAcentral.